CAUUACAGAGUUGCAAACUCCCAACCCUUGUGAACAUACCCGUUACAGUUGCUUCGGCGGGCAGCCCCAGGGCGGGGCUGCAGCCUCUUCUCACGAGGCGCCCGCCGGAGGUAUAUAAUUCUUUGUAUUUUUGGUCUCUCUGAGUAAAUUUAUAAUAAGUCAAAACUUUUAACAACGGAUCUCUUGGUUCUGGCAUCGAUGAAGAACGCAGCGAAAUGCGAUAAGUAAUGUGAAUUGCAGAAUUCAGUGAAUCAUCGAAUCUUUGAACGCACAUUGCGCCCGCUAGUAUUCUGGCGGGCAUGCCUGUUCGAGCGUCAUUUCAACCCUCAAGCCCUGCUUGGUGUUGGGGUCCUACAGUAAUGUAGGCCCUGAAAACUAGUGGCGGGCUCGCUAUAACUCCGAGCGUAGUAGUAAUAUCUCGUUUAGGAAGUGUAGCGGGUUCUUGCCGUUAAACCCCCCAUUUUAUAAGGUUGACCUCGGAUCAGGUAGGAAUACCCGCUGAACUUAAGCAUAUCAAUAA
This 520-nucleotide small RNA is filed under the name Cordana pauciseptata. RNAcentral describes it as "eukaryotic LSU rRNA". The stretch from base 164 to 317 matches the Rfam family "5.8S ribosomal RNA". Lineage: Eukaryota; Fungi; Ascomycota; Sordariomycetes; Coniochaetales; Cordanaceae. The record is from RNAcentral.